AAUCCACACAUAAGAACCCAGAGACACAAACACUCCCUGGGACAAAGACACGCAUCUAGAACACACAAAUUCACUUGGACAGCGACACACAGUAUCAACUUAGAAAGAUACACAGUCACACUCGCAUACACUCACGAUCACCUUCCACGCCAAGUAAUUCUCAGCAGUCUCCUACCCGCCACAAUUUACCCCCUCGGUAGGUACAACCUACCACCUCAGGGGGUGCGGUGGGGGGAGACGCUCCUGCCUUUUCUUUGGGUAGUUCAAGGACUUAACAGCUCUCACCCUCCCUACCCAACUGCCCUCUUGCCCCACAUCAGCUGCGAGGCCGGGAAUGCAGAGGGCGAGGGAAGUAGGAACCGGCUCCACCUUCUGCCUCCGUCUCCCAGACCAGGUCCCGUCCCAGUCUCCUCCUUCGCCCCUGCACCGAGUCCCCGACUCAGGAAAUGCCCCAACCUCCAGGGAAUGUAGACCCAGCGAAAGCAGAGAGAGCGCACCCGGGUGCCUCUAACCCUCACCGGCACACCGCCCACCCGUCGGUUUCAAGUGUUGCGUGGAUGCUACUGAGAACUAGGGCAUGUGGAAUUCGAGUCUGGGGGCUUUGAAGCUGGGGAAAGGACUUUCCUGGUUGUUUGCCUCUCCUCGUUGCUUCCCCCCUCAUCUUCGGGUCUUGAACAGUGGGGUGGGGUGUGUAGCCCCCCCCCCCUUUUCCCCCCCUUUCCAGCCGUGGGAGUGAGUGUAAUGAAAACCAUAUGGAGCUGAGAGAAAUGGGGGAGGUGGGGGGUUAGCGGGUAGAGAACACUAGCUAGAUAAAGGCGGUUCUUUGAAAUUGCUCCACCCCUAAAAUUCUCCUAUAGACUACCCCAUAUAGAAAACUUCACACAUUAUUUUCUGACAUAUAGCUGUUCUCUGUCACAGUGUUCUCUUCGUUUAAAGGCCCCCGAGAUGCCCUCGGUGGAGAGAGCCUUAGUUCUUAGUAUCCUCCAGGAUAUGACUUUUCUGGUGAAAAACAGCCAAGCUGAAGUUUGCCCCAAGGAAAAUAAGCUAGAAGUGAUGAGUAAAAAGGAAGCUGGAUUGGGGGGAGGGGGGGUUACUGUCCGAAGUGUAAGAACCCAGAGGCUCACAAUAGCAAACCGAUCGUUUACCCUAUGAAGUAGCAAACUGGUAUCCAUCAGAAAACGUAAACAAAUUUAUUUGGUAGGUCCUAGAAUUAUCAAUACACACUCUGCCGAUUUCUAUCACCGUAUUACAUCAAACAUCACUGGAAAUCUCAAAGACAGAAUGACAGGGUGAGGUUGUAUGUAGUCAGUAGCAUCUCUAAGGGUGACGGAGAAUCUUUAAGCCCUGGUCUAAAAUUACCUUCUGGUUUCAGAGAUAAUAUCGUAAAUUCAGACCUGGAAGGAGCACAUAGCAGUUGUUUCCUUCAACCUGCUAGUUGGUUGUUUUUUUUUUUCAAUAGAUGUGAAAAUUA
Molecule: long non-coding RNA, 1471 nt
Filed under: Phascolarctos cinereus (koala)
Lineage: Eukaryota; Metazoa; Chordata; Mammalia; Diprotodontia; Phascolarctidae
Description: lncRNA (ENSPCIG00000032035.1)
Source: RNAcentral